RNAcentral lists this ribosomal RNA (630 nucleotides) under Bacillus sp. 5A3. RNAcentral's name for it is "bacterial SSU rRNA". It matches the Rfam family "Bacterial small subunit ribosomal RNA", at positions 64 to 673 of the family's 1533-position model. Lineage: Bacteria; Bacillati; Bacillota; Bacilli; Caryophanales; Bacillaceae. The record is from RNAcentral.
GAGCGAAUGGAUUGAGAGCUUGCUCUCAAGAAGUUAGCGGCGGACGGGUGAGUAACACGUGGGUAACCUGCCCAUAAGACUGGGAUAACUCCGGGAAACCGGGGCUAAUACCGGAUAACAUUUUGAACUGCAUGGUUCGAAAUUGAAAGGCGGCUUCGGCUGUCACUUAUGGAUGGACCCGCGUCGCAUUAGCUAGUUGGUGAGGUAACGGCUCACCAAGGCAACGAUGCGUAGCCGACCUGAGAGGGUGAUCGGCCACACUGGGACUGAGACACGGCCCAGACUCCUACGGGAGGCAGCAGUAGGGAAUCUUCCGCAAUGGACGAAAGUCUGACGGAGCAACGCCGCGUGAGUGAUGAAGGCUUUCGGGUCGUAAAACUCUGUUGUUAGGGAAGAACAAGUGCUAGUUGAAUAAGCUGGCACCUUGACGGUACCUAACCAGAAAGCCACGGCUAACUACGUGCCAGCAGCCGCGGUAAUACGUAGGUGGCAAGCGUUAUCCGGAAUUAUUGGGCGUAAAGCGCGCGCAGGUGGUUUCUUAAGUCUGAUGUGAAAGCCCACGGCUCAACCGNGGAGGGUCAUUGGAAACUGGGAGACUNGAGUGCAGAAGAGGAAAGUGGNAAUUCCAUG